Molecule: ribosomal RNA, 438 nt
Filed under: uncultured bacterium
Lineage: Bacteria
Description: bacterial SSU rRNA
Rfam family: Bacterial small subunit ribosomal RNA
Source: RNAcentral
AACGAACGCUGGCGGCGUGCCUAACACAUGCAAGUCGAGCGCGAAAAGGGCAACCUGAGUAGAGCGGCGCACGGGUGCGUAACACGUGGGUAAUCUGCCUCAAAGUCUGGGAUAACCUUCCGAAAGGUUGGCUAAUACCGGAUAAGCUCACAGGGUCUUCGGAUCUGGUGGGAAAAGGUGGCCUCUAUUUAUAAGCCAUCACUUUGAGAUGAGCCCGCGGCCCAUCAGCAGUUGGCGGGUAACGGCCCACCAAGGCUACGACGGGUAGCUGGUCUGAGAGGACGAUCAGCCACACUGGAACUGAGACACGGUCCAGACUCCUACGGAGGCAGCAGUAGGAAUUUUGCACAAUGGGCGAAAGCCUGAUGCAGCAACGCCGCGUGUGUGAUGAAGGUCUUCGGAUCGUAAAGCACUUUCGACCGGGACCGAACAACCUCU